GUCUAUUAACUUCAAGACUUCUUUUAACACCAACUUAACAUUUGCACCGCAGUUCUCUGCAGAGCUGCCUGGUCUGUAGCACUUAAAGAAAAAAAAGUUCACAGGAAAUCAGUGUUCAUAGUAUAUGAAGUUAUAAUUGUAUCAGAAAUUAUAAUAUUCAGAUGAUAGCCUAAAAAAUUAUACUAGCCUGAAAAAUAAACAGUAGCAUUCCUGGCAAGUCUUAAUGAAAGGAAAGUGAGGAACCUGAGACAAGUGAACAAAAAAUAAAAGAGGGAGACCAGGCAGAGAUCCAUACACACAAGAGUUUAUUUGUCAGAGCUGACAAAUAAAGGCCAUCUCUCCAUAGACAGAGAGUGGCAAAACCGGCUUGGGGUUUGGGACUUCUAUGGGGGCAGGCUCAGGGAUUGGGGGCUGUGUGUGUGUGAAGGGUUGGGUUGCUAUGAAGGAGUGGUAAGACUUUCUCAGAAAUGUUCUUGGGUGGGGAAAGCAGAAUUUUUCUUAAAAUGGCAGCUGUCACUUAAUAUGGCCAUCCAGAUGCUAAGCAAGGACCUUACACUUACUACAUAUUAUUUUAAGAGGACUUUUGGUUUCCUCUUUAUGUACAUAUUACCAAGUGUUCACACAUGGAGUUCCUCACCUUCCACCUAUUUUUUCUUCCUUCCCAUUUGGUAUUCUUAACUAAGCAGUCAGGUGUUUUUGCCAUCAAUUAAAUUUAAGAACAAUACAAACAGGACCUGGAAGUAAAUCUGUGAAAUUUUUUUCUUCAAAAAUCUUCUAUACCGGGGCUGGGGAUGUGGCUCAAGAGGUAGCGCACUCGCCUGGCAUGCGUGCGGCCCGGUUUCGAUCCUCAGCACCACAUACAAACAAAGAUGUUGUGUCUGCCAAAAAAUAAAAAAUAAAUAUCAAAAAUUAAAAAAAAAAAAUCUUCU
Molecule: long non-coding RNA, 929 nt
Filed under: Marmota monax (woodchuck)
Lineage: Eukaryota; Metazoa; Chordata; Mammalia; Rodentia; Sciuridae
Source: RNAcentral